AAUGCUACUUUUGCCGGCGAGCGGCGGACGGGUGAGUAAUGCCUGGGGAUCUGCCCAGUCGAGGGGGAUAACUACUGGAAACGGUAGCUAAUACCGCAUACGCCCUACGGGGGAAAGCAGGGGACCUUCGGGCCUUGCGCGAUUGGAUGAACCCAGGUGGGAUUAGCUAGUUGGUGAGGUAAUGGCUCACCAAGGCGACGAUCCCUAGCUGGUCUGAGAGGAUGAUCAGCCACACUGGAACUGAGACACGGUCCAGACUCCUACGGGAGGCAGCAGUGGGGAAUAUUGCACAAUGGGGGAAACCCUGAUGCAGCCAUGCCGCGUGUGUGAAGAAGGCCUUCGGGUUGUAAAGCACUUUCAGCGAGGAGGAAAUGGAGAUUUGANCCAGGCUCA
RNAcentral lists this ribosomal RNA (393 nucleotides) under Aeromonas sp. '9.3 MW-16'. RNAcentral describes it as "bacterial SSU rRNA". It matches the Rfam family "Bacterial small subunit ribosomal RNA", at positions 75 to 468 of the family's 1533-position model. Lineage: Bacteria; Pseudomonadati; Pseudomonadota; Gammaproteobacteria; Aeromonadales; Aeromonadaceae. The record is from RNAcentral.